GAUGAACGCUGGCGGCGUGCCUAAUACAUGCAAGUCGAGCGAACAGACGAGGAGCUUGCUCCUCUGACGUUAGCGGCGGACGGGUGAGUAACACGUGGAUAACCUACCUAUAAGACUGGGAUAACUUCGGGAAACCGGAGCUAAUACCGGAUAAUAUAUUGAACCGCAUGGUUCAAUAGUGAAAGACGGUUUUGCUGUCACUUAUAGAUGGAUCCGCGCCGCAUUAGCUAGUUGGUAAGGUAACAGCUUACCAAGGCAACGAUGCGUAGCCGACCUGAGAGGGUGAUCGGCCACACUGGAACUGGGACACGGUCCAGACUCCUGCGGGAGGCAGCAGUCGGGAAUCGUCCGCAAUGGGCGAAAGCCUGACGGAGCAGCGCCGCGUGAGUGAUGAAGGUCUUCGGAUCGUAAAACUCUGUUAUUAGGGAAGAACAAAUGUGUAAGUAACUAUGCACGUCUUGACGGUACCUAAUCAGAAAGCCACGGCUAACUACGUG
RNAcentral lists this ribosomal RNA (497 nucleotides) under uncultured bacterium. Its description in RNAcentral is "partial 16S ribosomal RNA". It matches the Rfam family "Bacterial small subunit ribosomal RNA", at positions 28 to 507 of the family's 1533-position model. The record is from RNAcentral.